CGAACGCUGGCGGCGUGCCUAAUACAUGCAAGUCGAGCGAGCGGAACUAACAGAUUUACUUCGGUAAUGACGUUAGGAAAGCGAGCGGCGGAUGGGUGAGUAACACGUGGGGAACCUGCCCCAUAGUCUGGGAUACCACUUGGAAACAGGUGCUAAUACCGGAUAAGAAAGCAGAUCGCAUGAUCAGCUUUUAAAAGGCGGCGUAAGCUGUCGCUAUGGGAUGGCCCCGCGGUGCAUUAGCUAGUUGGUAAGGUAAAGGCUUACCAAGGCGAUGAUGCAUAGCCGAGUUGAGAGACUGAUCGGCCACAUUGGGACUGAGACACGGCCCAAACUCCUACGGGAGGCAGCAGUAGGGAAUCUUCCACAAUGGACGCAAGUCUGAUGGAGCAACGCCGCGUGAGUGAAGAAGGUUUUCGGAUCGUAAAGCUCUGUUGUUGGUGAAGAAGGAUAGAGGUAGUAACUGGCCUUUAUUUGACGGUAAUCAACCAGAAAGUCACGGCUAACUACGUGCCAGCAGCCGCGGUAAUACGUAGGUGGCAAGCGUUGUCCGGAUUUAUUGGGCGUAAAGCGAGCGCAGGCGGAAGAAUAAGUCUGAUGUGAAAGCCCUCGGCUUAACCGAGGAACUGCAUCGGAAACUGUUUUUCUUGAGUGCAGAAGAGGAGAGUGGAACUCCAUGUGUAGCGGUGGAAUGCGUAGAUAUAUGGAAGAACACCAGUGGCGAAGGCGGCUCUCUGGUCUGCAACUGACGCUGAGGCUCGAAAGCAUGGGUAGCGAACAGGAUUAGAUACCCUGGUAGUCCAUGCCGUAAACGAUGAGUGCUAAGUGUUGGGAGGUUUCCGCCUCUCAGUGCUGCAGCUAACGCAUUAAGCACUCCGCCUGGGGAGUACGACCGCAAGGUUGAAACUCAAAGGAAUUGACGGGGGCCCGCACAAGCGGUGGAGCAUGUGGUUUAAUUCGAAGCAACGCGAAGAACCUUACCAGGUCUUGACAUCUAGUGUCAUUUGUAGAGAUACAAAGUUCCCUUCGGGGACGCUAAGACAGGUGGUGCAUGGCUGUCGUCAGCUCGUGUCGUGAGAUGUUGGGUUAAGUCCCGCAACGAGCGCAACCCUUGUUAUUAGUUGCCAGCAUUAAGUUGGGCACUCUAAUGAGACUGCCGGUGACAAACCGGAGGAAGGUGGGGAUGACGUCAAGUCAUCAUGCCCCUUAUGACCUGGGCUACACACGUGCUACAAUGGGCAGUACAACGAGAAGCGAGCCUGCGAAGGCAAGCGAAUCUCUGAAAGCUGUUCUCAGUUCGGACUGCAGUCUGCAACUCGACUGCACGAAGCUGGAAUCGCUAGUAAUCGCGGAUCAGCACGCCGCGGUGAAUACGUUCCCGGGCCUUGUACACACCGCCCGUCACACCAUGGGAGUCUGCAAUGCCCAAAGCCGGUGGCCUAACCUUCGGGAAGGAGCCGUCUAAGGCAGGGCAGAUGACUGGGGU
RNAcentral lists this ribosomal RNA (1483 nucleotides) under uncultured organism. RNAcentral's name for it is "SSU rRNA". It matches the Rfam family "Bacterial small subunit ribosomal RNA". The record is from RNAcentral.